UUUGCCCCGUCACACCAUGGGAGUGGGUUGCACCAGAAGUAGCUAGUCUAACCUUCGGGAGGACGGUUACCACGGUGUGAUUCAUGACUGGGGUGAAGUCGUAACAAGGUAGCCGUAGGGGAACCUGCGGCUGGAUCACCUCCUUAAUCGACGACAUCAGCUGCUCCAUAAGUUCCCACACGAAUUGCUUGAUUCAUUGAAGAAGACGAUAAGAAGCAGCCCGAAAUUGGGUCUGUAGCUCAGUUGGUUAGAGCGCACCCCUGAUAAGGGUGAGGUCGGCAGUUCGAAUCUGCCCAGACCCACCAAUUUUGUGUGGGAAACGCCUGUAGAAAUACGGGGCCAUAGCUCAGCUGGGAGAGCGCCUGCCUUGCACGCAGGAGGUCAACGGUUCGAUCCCGUUUGGCUCCACCACUACUGCUUCUGAAAGUUUUGAAAGCUUAGAAAUGAGCAUUCCACCAGAACGGUGAUGAAUGUUGAUUUCUAGUCUUUGAUUAGAUCGUUCUUUAAAAAUUUGGGUAUGUGAUAGAAAGAUAGACUGAACGUUACUUUCACUGGUAACGGAUCAGGCUAAGGUAAAAUUUGUGAGUUGCUCGUAAUUGAGUAUUAUCGAAUUUUCGGCGAAUGUCGUCUUCACAGUAUAACCAGAUUGCUUGGGGUUAUAUGGUCAAGUGAAGAAGCGCAUACGGUGGAUGCCUUGUC
RNAcentral lists this unclassified non-coding RNA (699 nucleotides) under Pseudomonas sp. DPs-9. RNAcentral describes it as "partial contains 16S ribosomal RNA, 16S-23S ribosomal RNA intergenic spacer, and 23S ribosomal RNA". The stretch from base 1 to 146 matches the Rfam family "Bacterial small subunit ribosomal RNA", at positions 1388 to 1533 of the family's 1533-position model. Lineage: Bacteria; Pseudomonadati; Pseudomonadota; Gammaproteobacteria; Pseudomonadales; Pseudomonadaceae. The record is from RNAcentral.